Molecule: ribosomal RNA, 363 nt
Filed under: uncultured eukaryote
Lineage: Eukaryota
Description: SSU rRNA
Rfam family: Eukaryotic small subunit ribosomal RNA
Source: RNAcentral
CAAUAGCGUAUACUAAAGUUGUUGCAGUUAAAAAGCUCGUAGUUGAAUUUCUGGUUGUGAAAGAUGGUCCGUUCCUCAAGGAAUGUGUACUAAUCAUUCAUGGCCAUCCUCGGGGAGAAUGUGUGUUACUUUCAGUAGUCGUGCACAGGAACCCCGUCAUUUACUUGUGAGCAAAAUAGAGUGUUCAAAGACAGGCUUAUGCCGUUGAAUAUAUUAGCAUGGAAUAAUAAGAUAUGACUUUGGUCUAUUUUGUUGGUUUGCUUUCCAAAGUAAUGAUUAAUAGGGAUAGUUGGGGGGUAUUCGUAUUCAAAUUGUUCAGAGGUGAAAUUCUUGGAUUUAUGGAAGACGAACUACUGCGAAAGC